Molecule: ribosomal RNA, 500 nt
Filed under: uncultured bacterium
Lineage: Bacteria
Description: partial 16S ribosomal RNA
Rfam family: Bacterial small subunit ribosomal RNA
Source: RNAcentral
AUUGAACGCUGGCGGCAGGCCUAACACAUGCAAGUCGAGCGGUAGAGAGGUGCUUGCACCUCUUGAGAGCGGCGGACGGGUGAGUAAUGCCUAGGAAUCUGCCUGGUAGUGGGGGAUAACGCUCGGAAACGGACGCUACUACCGCAUACGUCCUACGGGAGAAAGCAGGGGACCUUCGGGCCUUGCGCUAUCAGAUGAGCCUAGGUCGGAUUAGCUAGUUGGUGAGGUAAUGGCUCACCAAGGCGACGAUCCGUAACUGGUCUGAGAGGAUGAUCAGUCGCACUGGAACUGAGACACGGUCCAGACUCCUACGGGAGGCAGCAGUGGGGAAUAUUGGACAAUGGGCGAAAGCCUGAUCCAGCCAUGCCGCGUGUGUGAAGAAGGUCUUCGGAUUGUAAAGCACUUUAAGUUGGGAGGAAGGGUCGUUACCUAAUACGUGACGAUUUUGACGUUACCGACAGAAUAAGCACCGGCUAACUCUGUGCCAGCAGCCGCUGUAA